AAACUAACAAGGAUUCCCCUAGUAACGGCGAGUGAACCGGGAAGAGCUCAAAUUUGAAAUCUGGCGUGCUCAGUGCGUCCGAGUUGUAAUCUAUAGAGGCGUUUUCCGUGCCGGACUGUGUCCAAGUCCCUUGGAACAGGGUAUCAAAGAGGGUGAUAAUCCCGUACUUGACACAAUGACCGGUGCUCUGUGAUACGUCUUCUACGAGUCGAGUUGUUUGGGAAUGCAGCUCAAAAUGGGUGGUGAGUUCCAUCUAAAGCUAAAUAUUGGCGAGAGACCGAUAGCGAACAAGUACCGUGAGGGAAAGAUGAAAAGCACUUUGGAAAGAGAGUUAAACAGUACGUGAAAUUGUUAAAAGGGAAACGAUUGAAGUCAGUCGUGACUGAGAGGCUCAGCCGGUUCUGCCGGUGUAUUCCCCUCAGUCGGGUCAACAUCAGUUUUGUUCGGUGGAUAAGGGCAGCUGGAAGGUAGCACCCUCGGGUGUGUUAUAGCCAGUUGUCGCAUACAUCGGAUGAGACUGAGGAAUGCAGCUCGCCUUUAUGGCCGGGGUUCGCCCACGUUCGAGCUUAGGAUGUUGACAUAAUGGCUUUAAACGAC
This 597-nucleotide ribosomal RNA is filed under the name Papiliotrema sp. Its description in RNAcentral is "partial large subunit ribosomal RNA". It matches the Rfam family "Eukaryotic large subunit ribosomal RNA", at positions 62 to 648 of the family's 3401-position model. Lineage: Eukaryota; Fungi; Basidiomycota; Tremellomycetes; Tremellales; Rhynchogastremaceae. The record is from RNAcentral.